AUUGAACGCUGGCGGCAUGCCUUACACAUGCAAGUCGAACGGCAGCACGGGAGCAAUCCUGGUGGCGAGUGGCGAACGGGUGAGUAAUAUAUCGGAACGUGCCCAGUAGUGGGGGGAUAACUGCUCGAAAGAGCAGCUAAUACCGCAUACGACCUGAGGGUGGAAGGGGGGGGAUCGCAAGACCUCUCGCUAUUGGAGCGGCCGAUAUCAGAUUAGCUAGUUGGUGGGGUAAAGGCCUACCAAGGCAACGAUCUGUAGUUGGUCUGAGAGGACGACCAGCCACACUGGGACUGAGACACGGCCCAGACUCCUACGGGAGGCAGCAGUGGGGAAUUUUGGACAAUGGGCGCAAGCCUGAUCCAGCAAUGCCGCGUGCAGGAAGAAGGCCUCGGUUGUAAC
This 399-nucleotide ribosomal RNA is filed under the name uncultured bacterium. RNAcentral describes it as "bacterial SSU rRNA". It matches the Rfam family "Bacterial small subunit ribosomal RNA", at positions 29 to 429 of the family's 1533-position model. The record is from RNAcentral.